RNAcentral lists this ribosomal RNA (408 nucleotides) under uncultured Alphaproteobacteria bacterium. RNAcentral's name for it is "bacterial SSU rRNA". It matches the Rfam family "Bacterial small subunit ribosomal RNA", at positions 78 to 521 of the family's 1533-position model. The record is from RNAcentral. Lineage: Bacteria; Pseudomonadati; Pseudomonadota; Alphaproteobacteria.
GCUUGCUCUGGUGGACAGUGGCAGACGGGUGAGUAACGCGUGGGAAUUUGCCUAGUGGUACGGAAUAACGCAGGGAAACUUGUGCUAAUGCCGUAUACGCCCUUCGGGGGAAAGAUUUAUCGCCAUUAGAUAAGCCCGCGUCGGAUUAGCUUGUUGGUGGGGUAAAAGCCUACCAAGGCGACGAUCCGUAGCUGGUCUGAGAGGAUGAUCAGCCACACUGGGACUGAGACACGGCCCAGACUCCUACGGGAGGCAGCAGUGGGGAAUAUUGCACAAUGGGCGCAAGCCUGAUGCAGCCAUGCCGCGUGAGUGAAGAAGGCCUUAGGGUUGUAAAGCUCUUUCAGUGGUGAAGAUAAUGACGGUAGCCACAGAAGAAGCCCCGGCCAACUCCGUGCCAGCAGCCGCGGU